This 492-nucleotide ribosomal RNA is filed under the name uncultured bacterium. RNAcentral describes it as "partial 16S ribosomal RNA". It matches the Rfam family "Bacterial small subunit ribosomal RNA", at positions 29 to 507 of the family's 1533-position model. The record is from RNAcentral.
AGUGAACGCUGGCGGUAGGCCUAACACAUGCAAGUCGAACGGCAGCACAGUAAGAGCUUGCUCUUACGGGUGGCGAGUGGCGGACGGGUGAGGAAUACAUCGGAAUCUACUUUUUCGUGGGGGAUAACGUAGGGAAACUUACGCUAAUACCGCAUACGACCUACGGGUGAAAGCAGGGGAUCUUCGGACCUUGCGCGAUUGAAUGAGCCGAUGUCGGAUUAGCUAGUUGGCGGGGUAAAGGCCCACCAAGGCGACGCUCCGUAGCUGGUCUGAGAGGAUGAUCAGCCACACUGGAACUGAGACACGGUCCAGACUCCUACGGGAGGCCGCAGUGGGGAAUAUUGGACAAUGGGCGCAAGCCUGAUCCAGCCAUACCGCGUGGGUGAAGAAGGCCUUCGGGUUUUAAAGCCCUUUUGUUGGGAAAGAAAAGCAGCAGGUUAAUACCCCGCUGUUCUGACGGUACCCAAAGAAUAAGCACCGGCUAACUUCGUG